Long non-coding RNA from Scophthalmus maximus (turbot), 1323 nucleotides. RefSeq lists it as uncharacterized. Lineage: Eukaryota; Metazoa; Chordata; Actinopteri; Pleuronectiformes; Scophthalmidae. The record is from RefSeq and is a predicted model, not a curated record. The transcript is spliced from 2 exons.
UACCUUCUGCUCCCGAUGCCCCGGCUCGCCUUUCUGCACUAAUGAAAAAGAUAGAAUGCAAAGGAAUGUGUGUGCGUCUCGGUGCCAGAAAUGUGCCUCUGGGAUCGCCAAACAUCCUGCUGCUGACAGAGGUCAGUUCACAAUAACAUAUUCACUCCUUCACUGUAAAUAUAUCCUGUUGGUCAGCAGCAAGAGCUCUCCUCUUUCCUCCCUUUGAAUGUUUUUGGGGGCUGCGGGCUGGUCAGCGAAUAUUCUCAGUGCACAAUGGCUGGAGACGAGCUGGAAAUUCCCCUUGUUGGGUGUAGCGGGCGCUCGGAGGAAAGGACACACAAUCCGUCCAUUAGAUGCCAAGACUUUCCCCCAUCAUCCCCAGCCUGCCGACCCCGGCCGACCCCUGAGAGGAAGUGCGCUCCCAGCAGCCUGAUGAGUUCACCGUUGCAUAGAGCCGCCCUGUUCUCAUUGGCCUUACUGUUGACUGGUGGUCCGCCAUGCCACUGACCUGUUGCCCUCCGGCUGAUCAUUCCUUCAUGGAUAUCUUUCAUUGACGUGGUUGAGUUUAGGCGCCAAGUCUCUUCAGAAAGUACAACAACGCCUGGAGUUUACCUCUGCCAAGAGAUCUGCUCUGCUCGUCCGCGCAGCUGGUGAAAUAAAAUACAAAAGAAGAAGACAAAUCUAACCAGUGGUGGAUGGUGCAGUUACAUGUCACACAUAUGGCUACUCAGAAAUUCAAACAUACGCCACAAGAUCAGAAAUGAAUGGGGGUAGCACACAGAUACGCUACCUUAACAACACCAGCUUCCUUUUUUGACCUGCAUAUCUGGAACCACCACUGGACAUUCGUGGUACUCAGAGGAUGAACCCUUGACUGUUUCUCCAGUGCUUACACGAGGCUGGUGUUUGUAGUUUUGAGUUAAAUUCUCUCAUCUGUUUUUUGUUCCUGGAUUUUUCUAGGGAAUUGGCUGAACAAAUGUAUGUUCCCUUUCAGGACGAGUUGUAAUACCUUGGGUCCCUUCACUGCUAAACCAGUUCAAUCAUUAGGUCAAAAUAUGAAUGUGUCCGAUAACUUGAAUUUAUGACCAAUACCUGGGACCUCUCUGCAUCUCUGUCUCCUUCUAUCUCACCUUGAGUGAGUUGCGGCAACCUUCCGUCUGCACAGAUGUGAUUUUUUUCUUGUAGGUCAGGUCUGUCUUGGCACAUUUCCCACCCGAGUCGCUCCAUCUUUGCAGCAGUCCAUCACGCCUGUCGGAGCUUAGUGAUCCACAACUCUCCUCUUCUUCAAUUUAAAAAAAAAAAAGGCCCCAACAUACCUGGAGUCAGAUGUGA